Molecule: ribosomal RNA, 858 nt
Filed under: uncultured Hyphomicrobiales bacterium
Lineage: Bacteria; Pseudomonadati; Pseudomonadota; Alphaproteobacteria; Hyphomicrobiales
Description: bacterial SSU rRNA
Rfam family: Bacterial small subunit ribosomal RNA
Source: RNAcentral
GUGAACGCUGGCGGCGUGCUUAACACAUGCAAGUCGAACGAGUAAGUGCUGUAGCAAUACAGAUUACUGCUAGUGGCAGACGGGUGAGUAAUACUUGGGAAUCUACCUUGAAGUCUGGAAUAACCGUUGGAAACGAUGGCUAAUACCGGAUAUUGCCGAGAGGUGAAAGUUUUUCGCUUCAAGAUGAGCCCAUGCAAGAUUAGCUAGUUGGUAGGGUAAUGGCCUACCAAGGCGAAGAUCUUUAGCUGGUCUAAGAGGAUGAUCAGCCACACAGGAACUGAGACACGGUCCAGACUCCUACGGGAGGCAGCAGUGGGGAAUAUUGGACAAUGGGCGAAAGCCUGAUCCAGCGACGCCGCGUGAGUGAUGAAGGCCUUCGGGUUGUAAAGCUCUUUCAGUAGGGAAGAUAAUGACGGUACCCACAGAAGAAGCCCCGGCUAACUUCGUGCCAGCAGCCGCGGUAAUACGAAGGGGGCUAGCGUUGUUCGGAAUUACUGGGCGUAAAGCGCACGUAGGCGGAUUUGUAAGUCAGGGGUGAAAUCCCGGGGCUCAACCUCGGAACUGCCUUUGAUACUGCGGAUCUCGAGUCCGGAAGAGGUGAGUGGAAUUCCUAGUGUAGAGGUGAAAUUCGUAGAUAUUAGGAAGAACACCAGUGGCGAAGGCGGCUCACCGGUCCGGAACUGACGCUGAGGUGCGAAAGCGUGGGGAGCAAACGGGAUUGGAUACCCUGGUAGUCCACGCCGUAAACUAUGGAUGCUAGCCGUCGGAGAGCUUGCUCUUCGGUGGCGCAGCUAACGCAUUAAGCAUCCCGCCUGGGGAGUACGGCCGCAAGGUUAAAACUCAAAUGAAUUGACGGGG